This is a non-coding RNA of Pelobates cultripes (western spadefoot toad), 232 nucleotides long. The record is from the annotation of a GenBank genome assembly. NCBI's taxonomy places the organism in Eukaryota, Metazoa, Chordata, Amphibia, Anura, Pelobatidae.
CCCUGUUUUAAUUGUUUAUUUGUUCAAUAAAUAUUGGAUUCUGCACUUUGUAUCCUGUGCUGCUCUCCUCAAGGAUAUCGUUUUAGCCUGUUUAGGCACCCCCCUGCAUAUUAUAUAGAGCCUUGGACAGCUCUAAAUCCUGUGAGUUUUACUCUACAUAAGGGGUCUAGUUAUUUGUGUUUUUUAGAUUGAUCACGAAUUGUCAUUUCGUUUACUGGUGCAGUAUUUAUUC